UGCAUGUCUAAGUAUAAACGAUUUAAUCGUGAAACCGCGAAUGGCUCAUUAUAACAGCUAUAAUUUACUUGAUCUUGACACAAUCCUACUUGGAUAACUGUGGUAAUUCUAGAGCUAAUACAUGCAUUAAAGCUCUGACCUCACGGGAAGAGUGCAUUUAUUAGAUCACAACCUAUCGGCUUCGGCUGUUUCUGGUUGACUCAUAGUAACUGAGCUGAUCGCAUGGUCUUGCACCGGCGACGUGUCUUUCAAGUAUCUGCCGUAUCAACUUUCGAUGGUAGUGUAUCUGACUACCAUGGUGAUCACGCGUAACGGAGAAUAAGGGUUCGGCUCCGGAGAGUUCGCCUGAGAAAUCGCGAACACAUCUAAGGAAGGCAGCAGGCGCGAAAAUUACCCACUCUCAGCACGAGGAGGUAGUGACGAAAAAUAACGAGACCGUUCUCUUAUGAGGCCGGUCAUCGGAA
RNAcentral lists this ribosomal RNA (464 nucleotides) under Acrobeloides sp. Sourhope farm. RNAcentral describes it as "SSU rRNA". It matches the Rfam family "Eukaryotic small subunit ribosomal RNA", at positions 52 to 514 of the family's 1831-position model. The record is from RNAcentral. Lineage: Eukaryota; Metazoa; Nematoda; Chromadorea; Rhabditida; Cephalobidae.